RNAcentral lists this unclassified non-coding RNA (303 nucleotides) under uncultured fungus. RNAcentral's name for it is "partial contains small subunit ribosomal RNA, internal transcribed spacer 1, and 5.8S ribosomal RNA". The stretch from base 1 to 73 matches the Rfam family "Eukaryotic small subunit ribosomal RNA", at positions 1759 to 1831 of the family's 1831-position model. The record is from RNAcentral. Lineage: Eukaryota; Fungi.
GCAAACUUGGUCAUUUAGAGGAAGUAAAAGUCGUAACAAGGUUUCCGUAGGUGAACCUGCGGAAGGAUCAUUACAAAUCCAACGUCUCUCUCUCAUGAGACCAUGUUGAAACCCUUCGUCCAUGACAUGACCUGUCUUCCCCCCGAGGCCCUGGGCUUGUCCCGGCCAAGGUGGGUGGCCAGUCAUUCAUAACUACCUGAUUUAUGUUGCUCAAUGUGUGUAUUUUCAAAGUACAACAACAACAAACCUAGAACAACUUAUAACAAUGGAUCUCUAGGCUCUUGCAUCGAUGAAGAACGCAGC